This 1223-nucleotide unclassified non-coding RNA is filed under the name Pogonomyrmex barbatus (red harvester ant). RNAcentral describes it as "estradiol 17-beta-dehydrogenase 8, transcript variant X1". The record is from RNAcentral. Lineage: Eukaryota; Metazoa; Arthropoda; Insecta; Hymenoptera; Formicidae.
GGGUUCAGGAUUGUGAUUUGUAGGUAGUGAUUGCAACUGCUACAAUAUGUCGAAGCUUCUAUCUGGAAAAUUGGCAUUUGUUACCGGUGCUGGAAGUGGCAUUGGAAGAGAAAUAUGUCGAAUUUUCGCUAAAGAAGGUGCUCAAGUUAUUGCAACUGACCAGAACAUCAAAAGUGCUGCAGAAACUGUAGCUACUUUAGAAAAUGUUGGACAUAUUGCAUUAAAUGUUGAAGUUUCUGAUCGAAAAAGUGUGGAGACAGCAUUUCAAGAUGUCUUAAAACAAUUUUUAAAACCACCCACUAUCAUCGUUAAUUCAGCAGGCAUUACGCGAGAUAACUUUUUAGUGAAACUCAGCGACAAUAAUUUUGACAACGUAAUUAAGGUCAAUUUGAAGGGUACCUUUCUUAUUAUGCAAACUGCUGUCAGAGCAAUGAUAGAGGCAAAUGCAACAAAAAAUUCCUCGAUUAUUAAUAUUAGUUCGAUUGCUGGUAAACAUGGAAACAUUGGGCAAAGUAAUUAUAGUGCGUCAAAAGCUGGAGUAGUAGCUAUGACAAAGAGCGCUUCUAUGGAAUUUGGAGAAUUUGGUAUUCGAGUAAACGCAGUAGCACCUGGUUUUAUAGAUACUCCUAUAACUGUAACUGUACCUGAUAAAAUUAAAGAAGUUUUUAUUAAAAAAGUACCAUUACGAAGAAUUGGGAAGCCACAAGAAGUGGCAGAGGUUGUUGCAUUUUUGGCUUCUGAUAAAAGUUCUUACAUAAAUGGAACAUGCAUCGAAGUUACUGGUGGAGGAUAUUAAAUUUCAUGAUUCAAUAUAUUAUUGGCAAUAUGAAUUCGGAUUGCUCACCUAAUCGCUCACGGUCUGAAUAAGGACAUAUAACUGUCUCAGGAUAAAUAAUUGUAUAGUAUCGUUUAGCUGAUUAAUUUUACAAAAGUAUCUCCUUUUUUGACAAUUUUAUACUGAUAUCAACAUAGCAGAAUAUAAAUUUUUCAUAAUUAAGAUGUGAUACACGCACUUAUUAAACAUAUGCACAUUUUGAUACAUAUAAUUUGUACAAAAAUAUACAAUAGAUAUAAGUCCAGUAUGUUGAAAAAGAAACAUGUAAAAAAGGUCUGAUAAACAAAAAGGAAAAGUUAAGAUGAUCGAUAUUUUCUCUCGAUAGCCAUCCAUAAUUUAUCGCAAUUAUUUUUAAAACUAUUUUUAAAAUCAUUCCAUUGAAAAAAAA